UCUCUGUUUCUGAAUGUUUGUCCUACUGAACGUAUCCAAACAUGGCUGACACCGGGGCGCGCCGGUCCUGCGCCUGCCGUGCUGCUCCGGCCACCGUGGCCGAGGGAUGCGGGAUGCGGACAGCUCUGGGAGGUUCCGCGCCGUUCUCUGCGGGCGACGCCCGAUGCUCAGCGACAACAGCGCUGCGCAGCCAGGCCCAAGCCCUCCUCCGCCCAGCUCCUGCAGCGUAAGAGGCUCCUCCGCCCGCUGGCAGUGGGAAAGAGCCGAGGGCCCACGCGAGGCGGCGAGCGGGAUUAUGAGAGCGUGGGGCUCAACGGCGAACAGGCGGCCACGGCGCGCACGUGUGUCCAGCCCUGGCUGCGGCGGCGGC
RNAcentral lists this long non-coding RNA (370 nucleotides) under Gallus gallus (chicken). The record is from RNAcentral. Lineage: Eukaryota; Metazoa; Chordata; Aves; Galliformes; Phasianidae.